Molecule: long non-coding RNA, 1136 nt
Filed under: Olea europaea subsp. europaea
Lineage: Eukaryota; Viridiplantae; Streptophyta; Magnoliopsida; Lamiales; Oleaceae
Source: RNAcentral
UAAAAUUGUGUUUAAUGCAUUAACUAAAAAAAUCACAAAAUCAAAUAAAAUAGAGUCGAAAAAUAAAGAUUUCACAGAACUAUCAAAAUCGGAGUUUAUUUAUGUUUCCAGUUAAAAAACUUACUUGAAGAGGUAUUUACACGUCUGGGGAGGUCUGAAGCUCAAUCGAGUACAGAAAAAACUUUGCGUCGUGAGUAGGCUGUGAAGAAAGUAAUGUGUCCUUCACUUUCUUCAGGGACGACAACUUUACAGCCAAAUCCCCAUGGUUGUCCAUCGAAGUGAGGAGAGAAAGCGCUUGUUCCUGAGUGGGCUGAGCCAUGGAAUAACUGAAGCCUUCUGUGUAACUAUGUUCGGCUUAUCUGGAAGAGGAAGAUUCAUUUGGAGAUUACGGCCUACAAAUAGCUUUGGAAGAUUGAAGAUUUGAAAACUAUCAGAGGAGAAAUUAAGAAAACACUGCAAGGGUUUGCAUGAGAAAUGAAUACAAAAAUAAUAAGAAAUAUCUACGAAAAGGUGAAGAGAGAGUGUUUUGGCCCUAAUGAACAGUACGACCCAGUUACACUUUUGAGUUCAAUUUCUUCAUCCUGGGUGUUUCAAACAAGAAUUUUUCCUCAGCCAUGAGAGAAAAAGGGUAAGUGAAAGAGAAGGGAAGCAGUAAAAGAUUGACACGUGUGAGAGAAGUGAACCAUUAAACCUUUUACAAAAGAGAUAUUUAAUGAAUGGUAGAAAAUUGUUCAUGAACAGUAGAAUCUGGAUAGGUGUGAAAUGCAGGUCUCAUGAAUGAACAGUGAUGGUCUCAUCCUCUCUUUUAAUUAGUGUAGUGAUGGUGAUUAGUGCACAUGAUUUAUAGCGAUAUUGUUAUGAAACUCAAUUUUCUAUAAAUUUAACGAAUUAAAUACAUUUAUUGAAUUGAACUUACACUCAUGAAACUUUAUUUAUUUAUAACCAAGUUUAAAUUUUAAAAUAAAUAAAUAAAAGAUUAAUUAAUUUAUAUAUUUGAUUAAAGUUGAAAACCUCGAUUAAAAAUAAAUAAAAGAUUAACUAAUUUAAAUAUUUGAUUAAAGUUGAAAACCUCGAUUAAAAAUAUAUGAUUGUAGCACAAAUAUUACACUACACACGAACCGUUUAACCGCUCUUUU